CGUAGGGAGCGAGCGUUGUCCGGAAUUACUGGGUGUAAAGGGAGCGUAGGCGGGAUCGCAAGUCAGAUGUGAAAACUAUGGGCUUAACCCAUAGACUGCAUUUGAAACUGCGGUUCUUGAGUGAAGUAGAGGUAAGCGGAAUUCCUAGUGUAGCGGUGAAAUGCGUAGAUAUUAGGAGGAACAUCGGUGGCGAAGGCGGCUUACUGGGCUUUUACUGACGCUGAGGCUCGAAAGCGUGGGGAGCAAA
RNAcentral lists this ribosomal RNA (247 nucleotides) under uncultured bacterium. RNAcentral describes it as "partial 16S ribosomal RNA". It matches the Rfam family "Bacterial small subunit ribosomal RNA", at positions 526 to 772 of the family's 1533-position model. The record is from RNAcentral.